CUUCUGGCCUCAAGCAAUCCUCCUGCCUCAGCCUUCCAAAGAGCUGGCAUUACAGGCAUAAACCACUGUGCCUGCCCUGGCUGGGCAAUGGAUUUUGUAGGCCAAUAAUGAUUCAACUUUUGAGAUAAGGAAACCAAAACUCAAUGUGGCUAGCUUGUCCAGAAUCUCCCAAAGAGUUGGUAAAUGAUGAAGCCAGACUCUGGCACCAAAGCUUGCACUUUUAAUGAGGCAAUGAUGAAUCAAUCCCCUGAGGUAGAGACAAGGGUGACCAAAGACCCUCAAGUUUGCUGCCACUGCUCUGCACCCAGGAGAAUUUCCAGUACAACUUGGGCAACCAGGAACAGGCUGGACAGAUGAUGAAAACCAGUCCUGCAGGCCACUUGUUCCAGAUCUCUCACAGAUUAAUGGGCACUGAAGUUAUAGUUGAUCUCUUUUUGAAAGUACUCUCCACUCUUCAACUCUUUGUAAGUUAAGAGGAAGUCAGGGAGGCCCAAAAACAAAUAUUUUCUUUGGACUCUAGGGCUUUAUCAAUGUGAGGAACAGAGUUUUAGUUCAAAAAACGUCUGCUCUCUUGUGAAAAGUAAAGAGAAGAAAUAUUUUGA
Molecule: long non-coding RNA, 602 nt
Organism: Macaca mulatta (Rhesus monkey)
Lineage: Eukaryota; Metazoa; Chordata; Mammalia; Primates; Cercopithecidae
Source: RefSeq, a predicted model, not a curated record